Molecule: ribosomal RNA, 1478 nt
Filed under: Staphylococcus aureus
Lineage: Bacteria; Bacillati; Bacillota; Bacilli; Caryophanales; Staphylococcaceae
Description: partial 23S ribosomal RNA
Rfam family: Bacterial large subunit ribosomal RNA
Source: RNAcentral
UAUAAUCGUUUUAAUCGAUGGGGGGACGCAGUAGGAUAGGCGAAGCGUGCGAUUGGAUUGCACGUCUAAGCAGUAAGGCUGGGUAUUAGGCAAAUCCGGUACUCGUUAAGGCUGAGCUGUGAUGGGGAGAAGACAUUGUGUCUUCGAGUCGUUGAUUUCACACUGCCGAGAAAAGCCUCUAGAUAGAAAAUAGGUGCCCGUACCGCAAACCGACACAGGUAGUCAAGAUGAGAAUUCUAAGGUGAGCGAGCGAACUCUCGUUAAGGAACUCGGCAAAAUGACCCCGUAACUUCGGGAGAAGGGGUGCUCUUUAGGGUUAACGCCCAGAAGAGCCGCAGUGAAUAGGCCCAAGCGACUGUUUAUCAAAAACACAGGUCUCUGCUAAACCGUAAGGUGAUGUAUAGGGGCUGACGCCUGCCCGGUGCUGGAAGGUUAAGAGGAGUGGUUAGCUUCUGCGAAGCUACGAAUCGAAGCCCCAGUAAACGGCGGCCGUAACUAUAACGGUCCUAAGGUAGCGAAAUUCCUUGUCGGGUAAGUUCCGACCCGCACGAAAGGCGUAACGAUUUGGGCACUGUCUCAACGAGAGACUCGGUGAAAUCAUAGUACCUGUGAAGAUGCAGGUUACCCGCGACAGGACGGAAAGACCCCGUGGAGCUUUACUGUAGCCUGAUAUUGAAAUUCGGCACAGCUUGUACAGGAUAGGUAGGAGCCUUUGAAACGUGAGCGCUAGCUUACGUGGAGGCGCUGGUGGGAUACUACCCUAGCUGUGUUGGCUUUCUAACCCGCACCACUUAUCGUGGUGGGAGACAGUGUCAGGCGGGCAGUUUGACUGGGGCGGUCGCCUCCUAAAAGGUAACGGAGGCGCUCAAAGGUUCCCUCAGAAUGGUUGGAAAUCAUUCAUAGAGUGUAAAGGCAUAAGGGAGCUUGACUGCGAGACCUACAAGUCGAGCAGGGUCGAAAGACGGACUUAGUGAUCCGGUGGUUCCGCAUGGAAGGGCCAUCGCUCAACGGAUAAAAGCUACCCCGGGGAUAACAGGCUUAUCUCCCCCAAGAGUUCACAUCGACGGGGAGGUUUGGCACCUCGAUGUCGGCUCAUCGCAUCCUGGGGCUGUAGUCGGUCCCAAGGGUUGGGCUGUUCGCCCAUUAAAGCGGUACGCGAGCUGGGUUCAGAACGUCGUGAGACAGUUCGGUCCCUAUCCGUCGUGGGCGUAGGAAAUUUGAGAGGAGCUGUCCUUAGUACGAGAGGACCGGGAUGGACAUACCUCUGGUGUACCAGUUGUCGUGCCAACGGCAUAGCUGGGUAGCUAUGUGUGGACGGGAUAAGUGCUGAAAGCAUCUAAGCAUGAAGCCCCCCUCAAGAUGAGAUUUCCCAACUUCGGUUAUAAGAUCCCUCAAAGAUGAUGAGGUUAAUAGGUUCGAGGUGGAAGCAUGGUGACAUGUGGAGCUGACGAAUACUAAUCGAUCGAAGACUUAAUCAA